RNAcentral lists this long non-coding RNA (2853 nucleotides) under Salmo salar (Atlantic salmon). RNAcentral describes it as "lncRNA (ENSSSAG00000082150.1, ENSSSAG00000085360.1)". The record is from RNAcentral. Lineage: Eukaryota; Metazoa; Chordata; Actinopteri; Salmoniformes; Salmonidae.
ACACACACACACACACACACACUAAUGUACAGGACACACAACACAAUAAGCAUACAGUAAUUCUCAGUCAACACACAAUCAUGAUUGCCAACCAACACACCCUCAAUCCCUCAACAGAUGGACCCAACAACUGUUGAAACAUUUGAUUACAAAUCCGUUCCAACAGAUUUCUCAAGCUGAAUAAACCAUGAAUCAUUUUGCCAUUUAUUUUAGAGUUGUUUUUAAACUAGUGGUUGACGCAUAAUAACUAAAUGAUCGUUUCUUUGACUUUGAACAUUUUGCAGAGCAAAGAAGAGACAACUAUUGGACGUCUGUUUAAAAGAGCACUGGCUAAAGACCAUGACAAGAGGUUAAGGGUAAAGGCUUUCAACUCAGAGACGGACAACUUCAAGCUGCCGUACGGGGGCCACCAGUACCACGCCAGCUGUGCCAAUUUCUGGAUUAACUGCGUGGAGCCCAAACCGCCGGGCCUCAUUCUGCCCGACCUGCUCUGAACUGCAGACAACCGCUGCCAUGGCAACGGGCGCCAGGUAAUCAACACCGGCGAGGUGCAACAGCCGGGCUCCCCACCGCACACCUCACACCUUGGGCUGCGAAUACAGAGAUCACAGAGAGACCUCAGAAGUCACUGGAAUCAUCUUUAUUUAUUUGCCUUUUAUUCUCUCUCUUUCUCUCUCAGAGGUACUCUGUGCUCUUUGCAGCGGUGAAGAAGUGCAAAUCUGCUAGUUUGUACAAAUUCAAGGCUUGACACAGUAAAGACUAUUCUGUAUCAUAAUGUAUUGUAAAAUUAUACUUUAUAAAUGGUGUCAUUUUCUCAUUUUUCCUUCUUUUUUUUCCAUUGUCUGGUCUCAUAUACAGUAUAAUGCAAUAGAAGUUACAAGUUGGCAUUUUAGCAUUGAUGCUUAUGCGACUUCUCUGGCAGGAUUUAUUUUGGCAAACAUUAUUCAGAUAAUGAACCAAUGUUGUGCUACGGUAACCCAGAGGAGGUCUAGUCCCUAUGUCAGAGCAGGGGAAAAUGUGGACACUUAUAUGAAUGGGGUAAUGGGUCUCAACGUUUUCUGUAAUGCACUCUUUCUGUGACUCAACAAGUCCAUAACAAACUAUUAAAACUGUGCAAUAUACUACUAAUGAAGGAACUUGGAGACAAACUGAAGUGUAAAGUUAUCUGUCGUUUCCCUUGAUUGUCACUUGUUGCUUUGUUACUGUUUAAUGCUUGAGGGACUGUGUUGGUGUUUCGGUCUUAAAGUAGUAUUUUGUCCUUUGUUCUUCUCGAGUCGGGGUUGUGGUAUCAUCACACUGCUGGAACUGAAUCAAUUUUACGGUCGGGUCUCUAAAAGGAUAGUCUAUGGUUGCUAACAUUUUAAUUCAUAUUUAACUUUUUAGGUAUUGUGUGACAUUAACUGCUUUUUAAUGUCUUUGUAUUGUUUGAAAAGGAUUGCUUUAUCUAAAUGAAUGUUAAUGUGCUGUUUGAAUUUUUUUGUGACAUUGGGACUUGAAAGGGAGUCUUAAUUCUUAAAGAUUGUUGGCUGUGGGUUUUGUUUUUCUGUCUUGCUGUGCCAGUGUAUAUAUACUCACACUGAUGGGGAUGUUUUGGCAGAUCUAAGUCUUGAAUGAAGUCAACUAUGAUUAUGGACUACUAUUGCAGCAGCACUUUGUGUGGAUUACAGUAUCAUAGUGUUGUAAUUACAAUGACUAACUGUAAUGUGAAGUGAUGACAUAUACAUAAAUAAUACAUUGAUGCAUAAAUUAAAUACAUUUCAUGGUCAUUAAUCAAUUAAUCAAUGAAUGUAUUACCUGGAAGCCUAUUACCAUACACAUUAAUUAAGAGUAUUGUACAAUUCUGCUGAAUUUGGUUUUGUUUUCAAUAUUUUCUGAAUAUAAUCAAGGUUGGUUUGAAUGUCAACAUGAAUCCUGAAGGCAUUCUAUUGUCUCAAUAGCACGAGUCGUUUAAUCUGGAUGACAUCUGUAACAAAGUCAGGUUCAGAGUCUAAUGCAGCAAUAUCAUAUUAGCACUACUUCUCCUAAAAUGCCAAAUGGUUUGAGAUUGUCACGUCUUUCAUUUUUCACUCAAUAACAUGUUAUUUCUCAGACCAGGGAGGUUUCAUCUCUAUCACUUUGUGACCAAAUGAAAUACAUUAACCUCAGACAAGCCUGCUGGGCCAUCGCUGGAGGACGGAGAGCUAAGACAAUCAAAUGAAAAACAUGCCUGUAGUGGCACCAUGCAUGGAACCAGUCUCAUUAUCAUUCUGUCUCGUGUGUACAGGACAGGUGUGUGUGUUCUCCAACAUACAUUUUUAUCUCUCACCAUUCCCUAAUUGAACAUCCUGCUGAAAAUGAAUUCCUCUCUCCGUCUUCUCACCGUGAGCUGCCAGAUUACUGAAAAUUACAAAUGCUCAAAUUACUGAAUAAUAAGGCUUUGUAAAUUUGAAAUUCAGACCCACCCGUCUGUCCCCAUGUCCUGUCUUCUUCAUGCCUAGUAUUGUCUGCAGGGCUGUGCCUCGUAGGAUCACCUGAGGAGAAUGGGUCUGGAGAGAUGGGAGUGCUACCCUACUGUAUUGACUGCUAUUCUUCAGCCACAGGCUCUUUCAGAUUUUCUGCCCAUUGUCAGUUACAGUAUUGAUUAAAGGCAGAUUUUUUUGCUCACCUGACUCACCUUUUUUUUCUUUAGAAUUCAUACAAACAUCCUAUCGGUCAUGAAAGCUAGUGUUCACAGCCUAAUCUGGGUGAUAUUUCAGACUGAGCUGUAGUUUUGCUGAUUUAAAAAGGCUUGAGGCUUGAAUGACUUGAGAUCUGUGAAGAUUUUCACUUGAGUGUCCAAGAUCUUGUACUUUGAAAUGAAGGAUUUGAAACCCC